CACCAAACCAAUCCAAUCCAAUCCUUUUAUUUAUCUAUGCAAAUUACUCAAAUAUCCGAAUAGAAUAGAAAAACAAUUAAGGGAAGGGAAGGCUUUUCUUUGACGACCAAUCUCCGAAUUCGAUCUUCCUCCCCAAUCGGAAUCACAUCCUCUCUCCCUCGUUUAACUUUCCGGUGACUAACCAGAGAGGUACAGUUUUGUGCUGUGUGUUCAUGGACGAGGUGAUGACGGUUGGGGAUGCAGCCUCAUCUUCCAUUAAAACCUCGCCGGCUCCUUUCCUCGCUUCCAAUCUCCCCCUCCUCUCCGCCUUCCUCGCUGGCGCCAUCGCCCAGUUUCUCAAACUCUUUACCACCUGGUAUAAGGAAAGAAAAUGGGAAUCUAAACGGAUGCUUGAUUCUGGCGGAAUGCCUUCAUCUCACUCUGCAACUGUGUCCGCUUUGGCCGUUGCUAUUGCCUUCCAGGAAGGAUCCGGAGGACCUGCUUUUGCCAUCGCCCUGGUCUUUGCAUGUGUUGUAAUGUAUGAUGCUACUGGUGUCAGACUUCAUGCUGGUCGUCAAGCCGAGUUGCUGAACCAAAUAGUUUGCGAGUUUCCUCCUGAACAUCCUUUGUCCAGUAUUAGACCAUUGCGAGAUUCACUUGGCCACACUCCACUUCAGGUCUGCCCUUCAGUGGCUAUCAUUGAUAGAAGCUAUCAUUGAGCCAAUAUCAAUGAUAGCAACUUUUAGCAACUUAUAGCAACUAUCAAUUGUUAUUAUCGAUAUCUGCUUCAAUGGCAACUUUCAGUUUGAGAAGAUCGAGAAGUAACACUCGUAAUAGUGGAAAAUAGAAAGUUAUCACUAAUAGCGACUACGGUGAUAGCAGCUAAUAGUAGCUAUUAGUGAUAGCUGCUACCACCGAUAGUUGCUAUUACUGAUAGCUUUUAAUUUGAGAAAUUCGGGAAGAAACGCCCAAAAUGGUGGCAGCAUGUGGGUUAUUUUAGUCUUUUACUAAUUCUUUUGUUAUAUAUGCAAUUAUUUUAUUAUUUUCGGCUUAAAUGCUAUUUAUGAAAGUGGUCCUCAUAUUUAUGUGUGGAUGUGGAUGACAUAUGAUAUUAAAAGCUUAGCCUUGCUAAUCGGUGUUCUGUGAAUCGUCAAUAUUCUGGAGAAAAGAACUAGACUCUUUUGCUGUGAUGGAAGACCAUGAAAGGUUAUUGCAGGUGCUGUGUUGGGAUGUGUAGUGGCUUUUUUGAUAAGAAAUCAAAAUUAAAGCGUGGAAUUUGUACAUCAGGAUUGAAUUCGACAUACCGUUGGUUGGAAGCACUCGAACCUUAGAAAAAGUGUAGUGAAAGAACGGGUGGUGCUGCUAAGGUGUUGUGUAAUCAACACUCAGAUGAAUGCAGAAAUGAUAUAUUCUUUGGUGAUAAAAGCCUCUCGAUCAUCCCAUUCACAUUGAA
Cucumis melo (muskmelon) is the source of this 1432-nucleotide RNA transcript. RefSeq lists it as uncharacterized. NCBI's taxonomy places the organism in Eukaryota, Viridiplantae, Streptophyta, Magnoliopsida, Cucurbitales, Cucurbitaceae. The record is from RefSeq and is a predicted model, not a curated record. The transcript is spliced from 6 exons.